Molecule: non-coding RNA, 234 nt
Organism: Pelobates cultripes (western spadefoot toad)
Lineage: Eukaryota; Metazoa; Chordata; Amphibia; Anura; Pelobatidae
Source: the annotation of a GenBank genome assembly
CCUGAAGCUGCGGUUAACCGCAGCUUAAUUGACGAAUCUUGGGUGGCCGCAAUUCGUAUCACGAACACGAGGUCGCGGCCAUUUUAAACAUGCGAAUGCACACCGCUGAAGCCGCCGACCUCCCUUCUUGUUCGGGGAAAGUGCACGAACGGCCCGGUGUUCGGUAGUUUUGUUUGAGUGUGUUGUGCCCCAGAUAGGAAUCCCAUGGCGAUUAAACUGUAUUCGUGUGGUCUG